AGAGUUUGAUUCUGGCUCAGGACGAACGCUGGCGGCGUGCUUAACACAUGCAAGUCGAACGAUGAAGCCUAGCUUGCUAGGUGGAUUAGUGGCGAACGGGUGAGUAAUACGUGAGUAACCUACCUUUAACUCUGGGAUAAGCCUGGGAAACUGGGUCUAAUACCGGAUACGACCAAUCUCCGCAUGGGGUGUUGGUGGAAAGCGUUAUGUAGUGGUUAUAGAUGGGCUCACGGCCUAUCAGCUUGUUGGUGAGGUAACGGCUCACCAAGGCGACGACGGGUAGCCGGCCUGAGAGGGUGACCGGCCACACUGGGACUGAGACACGGCCCAGACUCCUACGGGAGGCAGCAGUGGGGAAUAUUGCACAAUGGGCGCAAGCCUGAUGCAGCGACGCCGCGUGAGGGAUGACGGCCUUCGGGUUGUAAACCUCUGUUAGCAGGGAAGAAGAGAGAUUGACGGUACCUGCAGAGAAAGCGCCGGCUAACUACGUGCCAGCAGCCGCGGUAAUACGUAGGGCGCGAGCGUUGUCCGGAAUUAUUGGGCGUAAAGAGCUUGUAGGCGGUUUGUCGCGUCUGCUGUGAAAGGCCGGGGCUUAACUCCGUGUAUUGCAGUGGGUACGGGCAGACUAGAGUGCAGUAGGGGAGACUGGAAUUCCUGGUGUAGCGGUGGAAUGCGCAGAUAUCAGGAGGAACACCGAUGGCGAAGGCAGGUCUCUGGGCUGUAACUGACGCUGAGAAGCGAAAGCAUGGGGAGCGAACAGGAUUAGAUACCCUGGUAGUCCAUGCCGUAAACGUUGGGCACUAGGUGUGGGGAACAUUCCACGUUUUCCGCGCCGUAGCUAACGCAUUAAGUGCCCCGCCUGGGGAGUACGGCCGCAAGGCUAAAACUCAAAGAAAUUGACGGGGGCCCGCACAAGCGGCGGAGCAUGCGGAUUAAUUCGAUGCAACGCGAAGAACCUUACCAAGGCUUGACAUAUACUGGACCGCAUCAGAGAUGGUGUUUCCCUUCGGGGCUGGUAUACAGGUGGUGCAUGGUUGUCGUCAGCUCGUGUCGUGAGAUGUUGGGUUAAGUCCCGCAACGAGCGCAACCCUCGUUCUAUGUUGCCAGCACGUUAUGGUG
Molecule: ribosomal RNA, 1119 nt
Filed under: human gut metagenome
Description: bacterial SSU rRNA
Rfam family: Bacterial small subunit ribosomal RNA
Source: RNAcentral